AAAGUCCCUUGGCGAACCAGUGUCUUUCCUUCUGCUCCUUCAGGUACCUGCCGUGGACUUUUCCUGGCUUGACCUCCUCCUCGGGGUGACUGGAGGGCCCCUCCACCGUUGCCCUGAAGAGUGAAUGAAGCAGUGGUGCACUGGUCAGCAGGUGAUUCACUUCCUGCUGCCUACUGAGGUGGCCUGACAGCAGUGAGCGCAACACAUCCAGGGUCUCGGCGAUCUGCGAGGCAAGGACCAGUCAGGCAUCUCCCACACAGCAAAGAACCACACACUUCAGAAAAAGAACCUCAACACAACACUCCAGGAAAAAAAAAAACACAUCCCUAACUCCACCAAGCUUGCCCCUUCCCUGGGAGGUACCGAGGUUGUGGGGCUGUCCUGCCACAUAGCCAAGUGGAGGCACCGGCGAGUGUGUGCGCUGAGGAGCCCUGCCAGCUGCUCCCGAGGACUGCUGAGGGACGGCUGC
Molecule: long non-coding RNA, 469 nt
Organism: Portunus trituberculatus (swimming crab)
Lineage: Eukaryota; Metazoa; Arthropoda; Malacostraca; Decapoda; Portunidae
Exons: 3
Source: RefSeq, a predicted model, not a curated record